UGGGUAACCUGCCUCAAAGAGGGGAAUAGCCUCCCGAAAGGGAGAUUAAUACCGCAUAAUAUGUUUAAGUCGCAUGACUUUAACAUCAAAGGAUUUUCUUUUAGAACUUCCACUUUGAGAUGGACCCGCGGCGCAUUAGCUAGUUGGUGAGGUAACGGCUCACCAAGGCAACGAUGCGUAGCCGACCUGAGAGGGUGAUCCGGCCACAGUUGGGACUGAGACACGGCCCAGACUCCGUAGGAG
RNAcentral lists this ribosomal RNA (243 nucleotides) under uncultured bacterium. RNAcentral's name for it is "partial 16S ribosomal RNA". It matches the Rfam family "Bacterial small subunit ribosomal RNA", at positions 118 to 347 of the family's 1533-position model. The record is from RNAcentral.